CCUACGGGAGGCAGCAGUGAGGAAUAUUGGUCAAUGGGCUUACGCCUGAACCAGCCAAGUCGCGUGAGGGAAGACUGCCCUAUGGGUUGUAAACCUCUUUUGUCAGGGAGCAAUUGGCGCUACGUGUAGCGUUAUCGAGAGUACCUGAAGAAAAAGCAUCGGCUAACUCCGUGCCAGCAGCCGCGGUAAUACGUAGGUGGCAAGCGUUAUCCGGAUUUACUGGGUGUAAAGGGCGUGUAGGCGGGACUGCAAGUCAGAUGUGAAAACCACGGGCUCAACCUGUGGCCUGCAUUUGAAACUGUAGUUCUUGAGUACUGGAGAGGCAGACGGAAUUCCUAGUGUAGCGGUGAAAUGCGUAGAUAUUAGGAGGAACACCAGUGGCGAAGGCGGUCUGCUGGACAGCAACUGACGCUGAGGCGCGAAAGCGUGGGGAGCAAACAGGAUUAGAUACCCGAGUAGUC
RNAcentral lists this ribosomal RNA (461 nucleotides) under uncultured bacterium. Its description in RNAcentral is "partial 16S ribosomal RNA". It matches the Rfam family "Bacterial small subunit ribosomal RNA", at positions 338 to 795 of the family's 1533-position model. The record is from RNAcentral.